Molecule: long non-coding RNA, 1427 nt
Organism: Wyeomyia smithii (pitcher-plant mosquito)
Lineage: Eukaryota; Metazoa; Arthropoda; Insecta; Diptera; Culicidae
Exons: 3
Source: RefSeq, a predicted model, not a curated record
CCAAACUGCAGUGGUAUGAAUGUGUGCGAGAGGGGAGUGGCCAUGUACUGAGGACAUUUUUUUUGUUUGCUUUACAUGCUCACCUCUCACUUUGCAAAGGUUGAAAAUUAUGAUGUUAGUAUUUCUUUUGUUUUAAUUCACUAGAUUUGGUGCAUUUUACAGUUUUAAGUAAAAGAUUGAAAAAAGAGGAAGAAUAUUAUGAAAAAUUCAGAACCAUCACAGAUGUUCCGUAAUGAAACUUUGCAGACAAUAAGCAAUCAUUGAUAAUUUAAUUAUCUACACCCAAACUCGAAGACAGUUGUCCGCGAAAAGUUUGCAAAGUGCUUGAAGCGAAAAAGUAGAUUUAAAAACAACAACAACAACAUAAGUGGCACUCAUCUAACGGAGACAAUUACGCUGUCAUUCGGAGCAAUUUUCAUAAUUUUUGAUCCCGUCUCCUAGGGCAAAAGCAAGGGCUAAGAAAGAUAGAAAAAAAUCUCACCCCUUUUCUUCGCUUGGCCACUUGCUGUUCGAGGAUUUUCUUAGGCCAGGGCAAGGUGUUCAACCAGAAACGCGAUGGAAAUUUUAUGCCAAGAACGCGGGAACCGGUUCCGGUAACAAAUUAUUUUUUAAGUACCUGUGAGCUCACCGUUUAAACGGUGACUGUUUUACCGCCCCAAACUAAAUGGUAAUUUAUAAAUUUUUCAGGAACGGCUCAUGGCUAGCGGACGGUCCGCAUUUUUUGAGGAAAAAGCUCCUUACGUUAAAGGAUAUUUUCUUGGAUCCGUUUUUACUCCUUCGGGAGAAGAGGUGUCGCCAGUAAAGAAAACCGAUUGCUUCUGCCGGUCGCGUUAAUGUUUUCCUAAUGCAAUCAGACGUUAAUUAAUCACAAUUCAUUACUCACGUCGUCGGGUCGAGAACAGCCUUCUGGCUGUUAUAAAAUAUAUUUAAAACGGGAGCACGUGCUUGAGGGGCUUUCCGGAAAAAUCGACUCUGAAGGUAAAUAAUAAUAUAAAAAAUGAUCAAUCGUAAGUCAUCAUAAAAGUUUUUUUUUUGUUUUUCGUGAGCGCUAACAAAUUUAUUCUAACUUUCAAUUCGUUGAGUAGAAUAAAUUGGAAUUUUUAGUGGUGAUAGAAAGCUGACAAAAUCAUAUGGCUGCAUCAUGAGCGACGAGGCCUAAUGCGGACUUUCAAAAGAUUCCUGAGAACCUGUGUUUUACUCCCAUGGAUAAAUUAAAUGUUCCUGAGAAUCUACGAUCGCAGGAGAUCACCAAAAAAUAAGACAUAAGAAAACAACUGUAAUUAGUUGAAAUCUACACGAAAACCACUUGAAAAUCUUUCGAAAAUUACUUAAACACUUAAAAACUAUCGCUUCAAAACGGACCGGUAAUGAAAAGUUCUGUUGAAAGUUCUUUGAACGCAGACAGCAGAAAUUCACCGGAAUCAACA